Aphis gossypii (cotton aphid) is the source of this 1969-nucleotide long non-coding RNA. RefSeq lists it as uncharacterized. The transcript has 3 exons. The record is from RefSeq and is a predicted model, not a curated record. Lineage: Eukaryota; Metazoa; Arthropoda; Insecta; Hemiptera; Aphididae.
UUCAUUAUAUAAUAUAAUACCUAUACCAAUAAAAUGUGUUGAAGACGGAGUUGACUCAUGGUAUAUUUCCACAAAUACAUAUACUUACGUUGCAAUAACUAAGGAUAGAAAACAAUUUACUACCUACACGGAAAAGAGAUAAAGGAUUGCAUUGAAACAGCAAUAUGCAGAAUAUGCAAGGCUACACAGCCAAUGUUAGAUAACAAUGAUAAUACACCAUGUGGAAUGCAAAUAUUUAAAACACCGGAUGCAUUACAAACGGGAUGUAGUAGCAACAAAUUUCCAUUAGUUAGAAACAUUUACCACAGAAUUCUUAAUAAAAACACAUGGAUACAUGCUGGAGAUGAUACUUUAACAAUAAGUUGCACAGAUUUACCCGAAUCGUUCGUUCAAGAAGUUAAGGUUUCAGGUGCAAUAACUAUAUUAGACAUAAAUUGUCAAGUAUUCACACGUGACGCAGUGUUGACUCCUAUAGAGGAUAUUUCGAGUACAAAUUAUAAAGAUUUUGUACCUAAUACUAAAAUACAGAAUAUAUUUAAUAAAAUACCUGAACAUAUACAUAAAUAUAAAUUGAGCGAUGUAUGGAAUAAUACAACAAAAAUACAAUUAACAGAUCUGCAUAGUGUGUCAAGGUCACUUGAUGAGAUUCAGCAAAUGAUAGACGAGGAAGUUAUUAGAGAACAAAGUCAAAAACACCAGUUCAUACAUUCGAAUCUUUUGUAUGUUACAAUAAUUUUGGCUAUACUAAUGUGGUGAUAGUGGCUUUUGUUGGCACACUAUCAGCCAAUAACUUACGAGCUUCGAUCGGAGCUCGAAGUAAGAAAAGGUAAUUACUACAAACAACAACAAGCUUGACAAAUAAAACUUUUUAUUUGUAGAGAAACAACGAGGGUAAACGUAUUUUAUAAUAAAAUAAAUAAAUACAGCGGUAUGAAAGGGUAUUGAUGCUCGCGGAGACAAAAAUAUACGCGCGGCGUGAUUUUUGCGUUGUCGUGGAAAAAACAAAGUUCACAGUUCGGAUGUCGACAAAAGAGUGCCAAAACGGGAACCGCGAAUUCCGCGUAACGGCCGUAACGAACCGAGAAUCGCGGACGGUCGCUCGUACGGGCUGGCGGGGGGAAACGCGAGAUCGCGCGUCGCUAAAAUGCACAUACAUAGAUAUAACACACAAGACACAUAAUACAAUAAUAUAAUAAUACAAUAAUACGAUAAUAUAAUAAUACAAUAAUUGUGCGCUAACGCGGCGACGAUGUAGUACGCACUACACUGCGUCCGCGGUGUAGUGGUGAUAACCGUAUCACCACAUUACUCCCCCUCGGCGAAAAGAAAAAAAUUUCAAACGGAAUUACGCGCGUAGGAAUGGUCGGCGAUCGGGUCUUCACGCGGGAUGAAGCUGGUUUGAGACGGUCGAUGGAAAUCCAGGCUGUCGAAUUGUCGCGUUGUACCUUGAAAGUUUUUUCGCGGCGUUCCAAAACGGCGAAAGGUCCCUCGUAGCGCGGUUGGAGCGGCGGCCUGACAGCGUCGAUUCUUAUGAAGAUGUGGCUUACUUGGUUCAGGUCGGCGGGCACGAACGUAGCACGUCGUGCGUCGUGGUUCGUACCAGGUGUAUAGCGCAGUUGGCUCAUUGAUUUGCGAAGCGAUGCCACCAGGUCGGGAACCCGCGGUUCGGGCGGCGCGUGGUGGAAAAAAAUUUGGAACACUGAUAAGUGAUAUUAUUGUUAUCAAACAUUAAGUCAUCAUUUGAGUAUGAAAUAACCAAAACUCAUGAUAGUGUCGUUGAAUUAAGAUGUAAUGCCAAAUCAAUAGAUGAAAUAAAUACUUGGGUUGAUGAGUUUGGAAAGUUAAAUAAUACCCAUUGGAACUUCCGAUCUAGUGUUCCAAACGGAACAAGAAUAGUGUGUUCAUAAACUACAUUGUCAACGGGUCAAUGCUUUGAAUGUUUGAAGAAUUUAGUUUAAUGGAAACAAAA